UGGGCUGGGUCUAAUCAGAGAGUGAAGGAGGGAAAAGAGGGGUCCCCUGCCUACCAGGAGCCCUGGUAGGAAAGCCUCCCUCUGGAGAGGGGACGGUGAGUGGGGCAGGACCCAGUCUGAGUCUUCUCUCCAGGAGCCCUUAGAGGGCAGUUCUAUUCUCUUCUAGGGCUUCCCUGGUGGCUCAGAGGGUAAAGAAUUUGCCUGCAAUCCGGGAGACUCAGGUUCAGUCCCUGGGUUGGGAAGAUCCCCUGGAGAAGGGAAUGGCUACCCACUGUAGUAUUCUUGCCUGGAGAAUGCCAUGGACAGAGGAGCCUGGCGGGCUACAGUCCAUGGGGUCGCAAAGAAUUGAACACGACUGAGUGACCACACUACUACUAUUAUGGCUCCCUGAAGAAUUUCAGCUAUCUCCAUCAAAAAACCUCACACUGAAGAUCUGUAAAAUAUGAAUGUGUUACCAUGAAGCCCUCGCCCUGGAGGAAGCAUGCUGCCUUUCUGGAGUGGUCCUGUUGUUGUUGUUCAGUCGCUCAGUGGUGUCCAACUCUUUGCAACCCCAUGGACUGCAGCACGCCAGGCUUCCCUGUCCGUCACCAUCUCCCGGAGUUGGCUCAAACAUGUCCACUGAGUCUGUGAUGCCAUCCAACCAUCUCAUCCUGUGUCACCCCCUUCUCCUCCUGCCCUCAGUCUUUCCUAGCAUGGAGUGGUCCUAUGGACAGGCAUAUGUGACAAGGAAUGGAUGUCUCUGGAAAACUGUCAAUAAUGACUUGAGGUGGGGCUACUGCUACAUGAAUGGGCUGGAAGCAGAUUCCCCCCUUAGUCAGGCCUCUGAGAUGACAGCCACCCUAGUUGUCACUUGACUGUUUUCAUUUUUAAUCUGGCUGCACCACAUGGCAUUCAGGAUCCUAGGUUCUCGACCAAAAAUUGAACCCAAGCCCACUGCAGUGAAAGUGCAGACUCUGAACUACUGGACUGCCAGGGAAUCCCCACUUGGGUGGUUCUGGAAUGGAGAUUCUGAGUUAAAGACACCCAGCUAAGCUGGGCCCAGAUUCCUGAUCCACUGAAACCAUGAGAUAACAAAUAUUUAUGGUUUUAAGCCUCUAACUUUGGGGGCAAUUUGUUACACAGUAAUAGAUAACCAAUGCACCUGUGUUUUCCAUUGGCCUUGGAGCUCCUUGGGAACUCCUUUAUCUUCAGAUCUGCUGGGGCAGCUCACUGGAGACAAUGAGAAGAUCCUUCAAGCUUUGAGGAAGCAAAACCAAACCAAACCAACGGGUUUCAUACAAAGGAUCCAGAAUCAGAAUGGCAUCACCUUCUCAAUACUUAACUCUGGAAAGCCAGAACACAAGAGAACAAGAUCUCAAAAUUCUGGGGAGGGGACUUCCCUGGUGGUCCAGUGGCUAAGACUCUAUGCUCCCAAUGCAGGGGCUUCCCAGGUGGUACUAGUGGAAAAGAACCCCCCUGCCAGUGCAGGAGACAUAACAGAUGUGGGUUUGAUCCCUGGGUCAGGAAGAUCCCCUGGACGGCACCGCAACUCAGUCCAGUAUUCUUGCCUGAAGAAUCCCAUGGACAGAGAAGCCUGGAGGGCUAUAGUCCAUAGGGUCGCAAAGAGUCGAACACGACUGAAGCAACUUAGCACACACACAUGCUCCCAAUGCAGGGGCCCAAGUUUGAUUCCUGGUCAGGGAACCGGUCCCACAUGCUGCACCUAAGAGUUGAAAGUGAAAGGGAAGUCGCUCAGUUCUAUCUGACUCUUUGCGACCCCAUGGACUGUAGGCUACCAGGCUCCUCCGUCCAUGGGAUUUCCCAGGCAAGAAUACUGGAGUGGGCUGCCAUUUCCUUCUCCAGGGGAUCUUCCCGACACAGGGAUUGAACCAGGUCUCCCGCAUUGCAAGCAGAUGCUUUUACCAUCUGAGUCACCAGGGAAGCUGCGUCUAAGAGUUGGAAUGCCACAACUAAACAUCCUCGUGCUGCAGCCAAGACCCAGCACAACCAAAUAAAUAAAAACAUUUAAAUGAAAAAAAAAAAGAC
Molecule: long non-coding RNA, 2025 nt
Organism: Bos mutus (wild yak)
Lineage: Eukaryota; Metazoa; Chordata; Mammalia; Artiodactyla; Bovidae
Source: Ensembl